ACAUUUAUUUUUAGAUGCUAGACAACUAACUUUAUUGGAGAGUUUGAUCCUGGCUCAGGAUGAACGCUGGCGGCGUGCCUAAUACAUGCAAGUCGAGCGAAUGGAUUGAGAGCUUGCUCUCAAGAAGUUAGCGGCGGACGGGUGAGUAACACGUGGGUAACCUGCCCAUAAGACUGGGAUAACUCCGGGAAACCGGGGCUAAUACCGGAUAACAUUUUGAACUGCAUGGUUCGAAAUUGAAAGGCGGCUUCGGCUGUCACUUAUGGAUGGACCCGCGUCGCAUUAGCUAGUUGGUGAGGUAACGGCUCACCAAGGCAACGAUGCGUAGCCGACCUGAGAGGGUGAUCGGCCACACUGGGACUGAGACACGGCCCAGACUCCUACGGGAGGCAGCAGUAGGGAAUCUUCCGCAAUGGACGAAAGUCUGACGGAGCAACGCCGCGUGAGUGAUGAAGGCUUUCGGGUCGUAAAACUCUGUUGUUAGGGAAGAACAAGUGCUAGUUGAAUAAGCUGGCACCUUGACGGUACCUAACCAGAAAGCCACGGCUAACUACGUGCCAGCAGCCGCGGUAAUACGUAGGUGGCAAGCGUUAUCCGGAAUUAUUGGGCGUAAAGCGCGCGCAGGUGGUUUCUUAAGUCUGAUGUGAUAGCCCACGGCUCAACCGUGGAGGUUCAU
Molecule: ribosomal RNA, 676 nt
Filed under: Bacillus thuringiensis
Lineage: Bacteria; Bacillati; Bacillota; Bacilli; Caryophanales; Bacillaceae
Description: bacterial SSU rRNA
Rfam family: Bacterial small subunit ribosomal RNA
Source: RNAcentral